AACGCGAAGAACCUUACCCAGUCUUGACAUAUAGUGGACAGUUCCAGAAAUGGAAUCUUCCUUCGGGACCGCUAUACAGGUGCUGCAUGGCUGUCGUCAGCUCGUGCCGUGAGGUGUUGGGUUAAGUCCCGCAACGAGCGCAACCCUUAUCAUUAGUUGCCAACACGUAAUGGUGGGAACUCUAAUGAGACUGCCUGGGUUAACCAGGAGGAAGGUGAGGAUGACGUCAAGUCCGCAUGGCCCUUAUGACUGGGGCUACACACGUGCUACAAUGGUCGGUACAGAGAGCAGCGAAAUCGUGAGAUGAAGCAAAUCUCCCAAAGCCGAUCUCAGUUCAGAUUGUAGUCUGCAACUCGACUACAUGAAGACGGAAUUGCUAGUAAUGGCGAGUCAGCAACAUCGCCGUGAAUACGUUCCCGGGCCUUGUACACACCGACGCGUA
RNAcentral lists this ribosomal RNA (442 nucleotides) under uncultured bacterium. Its description in RNAcentral is "bacterial SSU rRNA". It matches the Rfam family "Bacterial small subunit ribosomal RNA", at positions 958 to 1399 of the family's 1533-position model. The record is from RNAcentral.